Molecule: ribosomal RNA, 485 nt
Filed under: uncultured bacterium
Lineage: Bacteria
Description: partial 16S ribosomal RNA
Rfam family: Bacterial small subunit ribosomal RNA
Source: RNAcentral
ACUCAAAUGAAUUGACGGGGGCUUGCACAAGUGGUGGAGCGUGUGGCUCAAUUCGUCGCUAAGCGAAGAACCUUACCCAGACUAGAAAUCCUACUGCACGUCUAGCGAAAGCUAGAAAGCCUUCGAGGGUGUAGGACAGGUGAUGCAUGGCUGUCGUCAGUUCGUGGUUUGAAUCGUUCCCUUCAGUGGGGUAACGAACGCAACCCUCGUUGCCUGUUAUAUUUGUCAGGCGAGACUGCCCCCUCACGGGGGAGGAAGGUGAGGAUGACGCCAAGUCAGCAUGUCCCUCUGAUGUCUGGGGCUGCACACGCGCUACAAUCGCCGUUACAAAGGGGCGCAAUAUCGUAAGAUGGAGCAAAUCCUUAAAAGCGGCGCCAGUUCGGAUUGAGGGCUGCAACUCGCCCUCAUGAAGCCGGAAUCACUAGUAAUCGUGGGUCAGCCACACCACGGUGAAUACGUUCUCAAGCCUUGUACACACCGCCCGU